UACGGGGGGGGCAAGCGUUGUUCGGAAUUACUGGGCGUAAAGGGCUCGUAGGCGGCCAACUAAGUCAGACGUGAAAUCCCUCGGCUUAACCGGGGAACUGCGUCUGAUACUGGAUGGCUUGAGUGUGGGAGAGGGAUGCGGAAUUCCAGGUGUAGCGGUGAAAUGCGUAGAUAUCUGGAGGGACACCGGUGGCGAAGGCGGCAUCCUGGCCCAUUACUGACGCUGAGUGAGCGAAAGCCAGGGGAGCAAACGGG
This 254-nucleotide ribosomal RNA is filed under the name uncultured bacterium. RNAcentral describes it as "partial 16S ribosomal RNA". It matches the Rfam family "Bacterial small subunit ribosomal RNA", at positions 524 to 776 of the family's 1533-position model. The record is from RNAcentral.